AUGACUAAGUUUUCUUUCAUAUCCAUUCUUGUCCUUUUCUUUAUUUUUUCAGUUGUAACCAUGACAUGUCAAGCAGACAAAUUAUGUAAGACAAUCCGUUAUGGUCCUUCUAGUGUUUGUAUCCUUUGGGAUUGUCAACAAUGGUGCUAUGAGCAGUAUGACGGUAAAGGAGUUUAAUUUGAGAAAAAAAGAGAGAGGAAGCGUGAAAGAGAGGAAGAGAAGAAGUUCCAUUUUGAGCUAACCUCCAUCAUCAUCUCUCGUAUGUUCCAAGACCAAGUUCCUACCUUUGAUUCAUCGUCAUCUACCUCUAUUCAGGCUUCUUCUUCCCUACUCUAA
Molecule: non-coding RNA, 336 nt
Organism: Vicia faba (fava bean)
Lineage: Eukaryota; Viridiplantae; Streptophyta; Magnoliopsida; Fabales; Fabaceae
Source: the annotation of a GenBank genome assembly